Molecule: ribosomal RNA, 439 nt
Filed under: uncultured bacterium
Lineage: Bacteria
Description: partial 16S ribosomal RNA
Rfam family: Bacterial small subunit ribosomal RNA
Source: RNAcentral
CCUAGGGAGGCUGCAGUGGGGAAUAUUGGGCAAUGGAGGAAACUCUGACCCAGCAACGCCGCGUGAAUGAUGAAGGUCUUCGGAUUGUAAAGUUCUUUUCUAAGGGAAGAAGAAAGACGGUACCUGACUAAGAAGCCCCGGCUAACUACGUGCCAGCAGCCGCGGUAAUACGUAGGGGGCAAGCGUUAUCCGGAUUUACUGGGUGUAAGGGAGCGUAGACGGCUGUGCAAGUCUGAAGUGAAAGCCCGUGGCUCAACCGCGGAACUGCUUUGGAAACUGUAUAGCUUGAGUACUGGAGAGGCAGGCGGAAUUCCUAGUGUAGCGGUGAAAUGCGUAGAUAUUAGGAGGAACACCAGUGGCGAAGGCGGCCUGCUGGACAGAAACUGACGUUGAGGCUCGAAAGUGUGGGGAGCAAACAGGAUUAGAUACCCCUGUAGUC